GAAGCCCCGCCCAACACCGCAGGAAAUGCGCCUCCUGGGCCGUCAUUGGCCACCCGCUCGGGCGGAAGCGCGGAGCACCACCUCCUGGGUAGUGUAGUUUGGGCGCCACCUGUGCGCACGCGCCUGCACCCCUUCCCUUCUCCACGGCAACGGCCAAGCGGCUCCGCUAGAACCGACCAGGAAAUAACGCUCCAGAUUUCCAGGCACCGGGGCGGCGCUUCGCUUCCUCUUACAGAAAAGAGCUCACAUUUCCGUGGGCGCGGGGGCAAGGUCCCGCCCUCAGGAGGCGUGCAUCCGCGGGACCUGGGAACCUGCUAGGAAUGCAAGCUUUGUGGACCCUCUCAGGCCUAGAGAAUCCAACUGCGGGGGGCUCAGCACUCUGUGCUUUAAGGAAUCCUUCUGCAGCUCACUCAAGUUUGAGAACCAUGGCUCUUCUGUGACUAGAAUGGGAAAUACUAAGUCCAUCAUGGGAAUUUACAUGAAAUGCCUAUUAGAUAGUUAGUACUCAGGCAGCUGGGCCCAGAUGUAAAUAGAUGAUCACAAGAUGGCCCAGCCUGAAGCUCAGAGGCUUCAGAUCCUCAGGUCCUGUCCUCAUCGAAACACCAUCACCAUCAGCCCAUCACUUGAGCCUGCAGCCCUGAGGGAGCACUAAAUCCUGGUGAGGUGUGAAAUCUAGAACCAGUGGGGCCAUCCCCGGAAUGGUGAACAAUGCAGUAACAAGACACAACUUCACAAUCACUUCUGCGUGAUUCAAUUGGCCACAUCUCACAUGGUCCCAAAUUAAAGUUCCUUUAAUCAGUGAAGAGCAGUGGAGUUCCAGAUGGUGAUGACAAGGCCAGAAAAUAGUGGGCAUCUGAGAAGCUGGAUCCUUUAUGGAUACUUUAUGAGCAUCUAGGCUUUUACCUGUGCCGAGAAGAGCUGCUUCAAGAACACCAAUCAGAAGACAUGAUGAUCAGGGCAAGUAUUUGGCCUUUCCUUUGGUAGCACAACUGAGUAUGUUCAAGCUAUAAACACAAAACUGGAACCCUGAGAGGAGGCCAAAUGAUGCUGAAAUCAGCGAAAGUACUUGGGACUGAGCAGGGAGAGGUUUGUGGGGUGGUGGAGAUGGGGGUUCAGUUCUCUCGAGAAUUCCCCAACAGCCUGAAUCAGCUCAGAAAAUGUGGGGCUUAUGACUAAUCUAGGUUUAGGGCCUCGUAUGGCAAGUCCCACAGAAUGGGGCAAAAAAGGGAGAUCUUUCAGGAAAGUAGUAUGAAGUAAUAAUCCACAGAAGUGGGAGUGGGAAGAAUGAUAAUCGGAGGAGCUGAUUAAUGGGAAGAAAAUGUGACAAUAGAAUUUCUUACUUCCGGUAUUUUGACAGAAAACUGUGAGAUGAUUACUGGGGUAUGGGGGGUUUACCUGAGAAGUGACCUCAGGAUGGACAGGAGUGAAGUGGGCGGUGAGAUGGGGUGGGGAAGGCCGUACAAUUUCCAUCAGGGAGCAGGUUGAUGCCGAGGACAAAGCUGGCUCCACCCUGCUAGAGGUCUUUUUUUUUUUUUUUUGGAUUUUAUUUUUUUCCUUUUUCUCCCCAAAGCCCCCUAGUACAUAGUUGUAUAUUCUUCG
Non-coding RNA from Equus caballus (horse), 1599 nucleotides. The record is from RefSeq and is a predicted model, not a curated record. Lineage: Eukaryota; Metazoa; Chordata; Mammalia; Perissodactyla; Equidae.